UACGUAGGGUGCGAGCGUUAAUCGGAAUUACUGGGCGUAAAGCGUGCGCAGGCGGUUCGCUAUGUCCUGUGUGAAAGCCCCGGGCUUAACCUGGGAAUGGCAUGGGAAACUGGCGAGCUUGAGUGCGGCAGAGGGGGGUGGAAUUCCGCGUGUAGCAGUGAAAUGCGUAGAGAUGCGGAGGAACACCGAUGGCGAAGGCAGCCCCCUGGGUCGACACUGACGCUCAUGCACGAAAGCGUGGGGAGCAAACAGG
RNAcentral lists this ribosomal RNA (253 nucleotides) under uncultured bacterium. RNAcentral's name for it is "partial 16S ribosomal RNA". It matches the Rfam family "Bacterial small subunit ribosomal RNA", at positions 524 to 776 of the family's 1533-position model. The record is from RNAcentral.